RNAcentral lists this unclassified non-coding RNA (193 nucleotides) under soil metagenome. Its description in RNAcentral is "partial contains 5.8S ribosomal RNA, internal transcribed spacer 2, and large subunit ribosomal RNA". The record is from RNAcentral.
AACGCACGAGACCUGCGGACCUGCGGAAGGAUCAUUACCGAGUUGUCCAACUCCCAACCCCUGUGAAUUAUACCUUUAAUUGUUGCUUCGGCGGGACUUCGCGCCCGCCGGGGACCCAAACCUUCUGAAUUUUUUAAUAAGUAUCUUCUGAGUGGUUAAAAAAAUGAAUCAAAACUUUUAACAACGGAUCUCU